RNAcentral lists this ribosomal RNA (447 nucleotides) under uncultured bacterium. RNAcentral's name for it is "bacterial SSU rRNA". It matches the Rfam family "Bacterial small subunit ribosomal RNA", at positions 355 to 825 of the family's 1533-position model. The record is from RNAcentral.
UGGGGAAUCUUGGACAAUGGGCGCAAGCCUGAUCCAGCCAUGCCGCGUGAGUGAAGAAGGCCUUCGGGUUGUAAAGCUCUUUUACCAGGGACGAUAAUGACGGUACCUGGAGAAUAAGCCCCGGCAAACUUCGUGCCAGCAGCCGCGGUAAUACGAAGGGGGCUAGCGUUGUUCGGAAUUACUGGGCGUAAAGCGCACGUAGGCGGAUUGUUAAGUCAGAGGUGAAAUCCCGGAGCUCAACUUCGGAACUGCCUUUGAUACUGGCAAUCUAGAGUCCGGAAGAGGUUAGUGGAAUUCCCAGUGUAGAGGUGAAAUUGGUAGAUAUUGGGAAGAACACCAGUGGCGAAGGCGGCUAACUGGUCCGGUACUGACGCUGAGGUGCGAAAGCGUGGGGAGCAAACAGGAUUAGAUACCCUUGUAGUCCCUGAGCGGGCUGGCAAGGCGCAU